GAACUGUGCGAACGUUAUUCGGAAUCACUGGGCUUACAGGGUGCGUAGGCGGCCUGUUAAGUAGGGUGUGAAAUCCCCCGGCCCAACCGGGGAAUUGCGCUCUAAACUAGCAGGCUUGAGUGAGCUAGGGGUGCACGGAACUUCCAGUGGAGCGGUGAAAUGUGUUGAUAUUGGAAGGAACACCGGAGGCGAAAGCGGUGCACUGGGGCUUAACUGACGCUGAGGCACGAAAGCCAGGGUAGCGAACGGGAUUAGAUACCCCGGUAGUCCUGGCCGUAAACGAUGAGCACUGGGCGGGAGGAGGUUCGCCUCUUCCGGCCGUAGCGAAAGCGUUAAGUGCUCCGCCUGGGGAGUAUGGUCGCAAGGCUG
Molecule: ribosomal RNA, 369 nt
Filed under: uncultured bacterium
Lineage: Bacteria
Description: bacterial SSU rRNA
Rfam family: Bacterial small subunit ribosomal RNA
Source: RNAcentral